GUAGGUGGCAAGCGUUGUCCGGGAAUUAUUGGGGCGUAAAGCGCGCGCAGGCGGUUCUUUAAGUCUGAUGUGAAAGCCCACGGGCUCAACCGUGGAGGGUCAUUGGAAACUGGAGAACUUGAGUACAGAAGAGGAAAGCGGAAUUCCACGUGUAGCGGUGAAAUGCGUAGAGAUGUGGAGGAACACCAGUGGCGAAGGCGGCUUUCUGGUCUGUAACUGACGCUGAGGCGCGAAAGCGUGGGGAGCAAACAGGAUUAGAUACCCUGGUAGUCCACGCCGUAAACGAUGAGUGCUAAGUGUUAGGGGGUUUCCGCCCCUUAGCGCUGCAGCUAACGCAUUAAGCACUCCGCCUGGGGAGUACGGCCGCAAAGGCUG
This 375-nucleotide ribosomal RNA is filed under the name uncultured organism. Its description in RNAcentral is "partial 16S ribosomal RNA". It matches the Rfam family "Bacterial small subunit ribosomal RNA", at positions 527 to 896 of the family's 1533-position model. The record is from RNAcentral.